UAUCUCGUAGAGUCUGCAUAUCAAUAAGCGGAGGAAAAGAAACUAACUAGGAUUCCCUCAGUAACGGCGAGUGAAGCGGGGAAGAGCUCAAAUUUGAAAUCUUCAAGGUUCUACCUUGACGAAUUGUAGUUUAAAGAAGUGUUUUCUGUUGGAGUUUUGGUAAAAGUUCUUUGGAAUAGGACAUCAUAGAGGGUGAGAAUCCCGUAUUUGACCAUUAUUUCCAGCUUUGUGAUACACUUUCAAAGAGUCGGAUUGUUUGGGAAUGCAGUCCAAAAUGGGUGGUAAAUUUCAUCUAAAGCUAAAUAUUGGCGAGAGACCGAUAGCGAACAAGUACCGUGAGGGAAAGAUGAAAAGAACUUUGAAAAGAGAGUUAAACAGUACGUGAAAUUGUCAAAAGGGAAGCGUUUGACACCAGUGUUGUUUUCUCGAAAAUCAAUUAAAAAAAGUUGGAUUUUGUAUUGUUAAGACCUUAUCAGCUUACUGUACUCUUUUCUUGCUUUUUUUAAUGCACUUUUCGUUUAACAAGUCAACAUCAAUUUCUUUUGUUGUAAAAGAGUCAUUGGAAGGUGGCUUUCACUUCGGUGAAAGUGUUUAUAGCCUUUGGCUUCUGCAAUCGGAGAGAUUGAGGUCUGCAGCGUAGAUCCUUCGGGGCUAGAUACAUUAGAUGCUAAGUUAUAGCUUUUUAUAGACAACUUGUUGACUAUGAUUAAGUCACUGUAGCUUACUCGCUUAUGCGCUAUUUUACCUACGCUUAGGAUGUUGAUAGUCACAGCGUGUAC
RNAcentral lists this ribosomal RNA (779 nucleotides) under uncultured Neocallimastigales. RNAcentral describes it as "partial large subunit ribosomal RNA". It matches the Rfam family "Eukaryotic large subunit ribosomal RNA", at positions 24 to 634 of the family's 3401-position model. The record is from RNAcentral. Lineage: Eukaryota; Fungi; Neocallimastigomycota; Neocallimastigomycetes; Neocallimastigales.